GUGAAGAGGGAAACAACCCAGACCGCCAGCUAAGGUCCCAAAGUCAUGGUUAAGUGGGAAACGAUGUGGGAAGGCCCAGACAGCCAGGAUGUUGGCUUAGAAGCAGCCAUCAUUUAAAGAAAGCGUAAUAGCUCACUGGUCGAGUCGGCCUGCGCGGAAGAUGUAACGGGGCUAAACCAUGCACCGAAGCUGCGGCAGCGACGCUGAUGCGUUGUUGGGUAGGGGAGCGUUCUGUAAGCCUGUGAAGGUGUGCUGUGAGGCAUGCUGGAGGUAUCAGAAGUGCGAAUGCUGACAUAAGUAACGAUAAAGCGGGUGAAAAGCCCGCUCGCCGGAAGACCAAGGGUUCCUGUCCAACGUUAAUCGGGGCAGGGUGAGUCGACCCCUAAGGCGAGGCCGAAAGGCGUAGUCGAUGGGAAACAGGUUAAUAUUCCUGUACUUGGUGUUACUGCGAAGGGGGGACGGAGAAGGCUAUGUUGGCCGGGCGACGGUUGUCCCGGUUUAAGCGUGUAGGCUGGUUUUCCAGGCAAAUCCGGAAAACUAAGGCUGAGGCGUGAUGACGAGGCACUACGGUGCUGAAGCAACAAAUGCCCUGCUUCCAGGAAAAGCCUCUAAGCAUCAGGUAACAUCAAAUCGUACCCCAAACCGACACAGGUGGUCAGGUAGAGAAUACCAAGGCGCUUGAGAGAACUCGGGUGAAGGAACUAGGCAAAAUGGUGCCGUAACUUCGGGAGAAGGCACGCUGAUAUGUAGGUGAAGUCCCUCGCGGAUGGAGCUGAAAUCAGUCGAAGAUACCAGCUGGCUGCAACUGUUUAUUAAAAACACAGCACUGUGCAAACACGAAAGUGGACGUAUACGGUGUGACGCCUGCCCGGUGCCGGAAGGUUAAUUGAUGGGGUCAGCGCAAGCGAAGCUCUUGAUCGAAGCCCCGGUAAACGGCGGCCGUAACUAUAACGGUCCUAAGGUAGCGAAAUUCCUUGUCGGGUAAGUUCCGACCUGCACGAAUGGCGUAAUGAUGGCCAGGCUGUCUCCACCCGAGACUCAGUGAAAUUGAACUCGCUGUGAAGAUGCAGUGUACCCGCGGCAAGACGGAAAGACCCCGUGAACCUUUACUAUAGCUUGACACUGAACAUUGAGCCUUGAUGUGUAGGAUAGGUGGGAGGCUUUGAAGUGUGGACGCCAGUCUGCAUGGAGCCGACCUUGAAAUACCACCCUUUAAUGUUUGAUGUUCUAACGUUGACCCGUAAUCCGGGUUGCGGACAGUGUCUGGUGGGUAGUUUGACUGGGGCGGUCUCCUCCUAAAGAGUAACGGAGGAGCACGAAGGUUGGCUAAUCCUGGUCGGACAUCAGGAGGUUAGUGCAAUGGCAUAAGCCAGCUUGACUGCGAGCGUGACGGCGCGAGCAGGUGCGAAAGCAGGUCAUAGUGAUCCGGUGGUUCUGAAUGGAAGGGCCAUCGCUCAACGGAUAAAAGGUACUCCGGGGAUAACAGGCUGAUACCGCCCAAGAGUUCAUAUCGACGGCGGUGUUUGGCACCUCGAUGUCGGCUCAUCACAUCCUGGGGCUGAAGUAGGUCCCAAGGGUAUGGCUGUUCGCCAUUUAAAGUGGUACGCGAGCUGGGUUUAGAACGUCGUGAGACAGUUCGGUCCCUAUCUGCCGUGGGCGCUGGAGAACUGAGGGGGGCUGCUCCUAGUACGAGAGGACCGGAGUGGACGCAUCACUGGUGUUCGGGUUGUCAUGCCAAUGGCACUGCCCGGUAGCUAAAUGCGGAAGAGAUAAGUGCUGAAAGCAUCUAAGCACGAAACUUGCCCCGAGAUGAGUUCUCCCUGACUCCUUGAGAGUCCUGAAGGAACGUUGAAG
RNAcentral lists this ribosomal RNA (1854 nucleotides) under Escherichia coli. Its description in RNAcentral is "partial 23S ribosomal RNA". It matches the Rfam family "Bacterial large subunit ribosomal RNA", at positions 1010 to 2843 of the family's 2925-position model. Lineage: Bacteria; Pseudomonadati; Pseudomonadota; Gammaproteobacteria; Enterobacterales; Enterobacteriaceae. The record is from RNAcentral.